UUUCCGUAGGUGAACCUGCGGAAGGAUCAUUACAGUAGUCGCCCGGGUUGCCGCAAGGCCUCCCGGGUAACCUACCACCCUUUGUUUAUUACACUUUGUUGCUUUGGCAGGCCUGCCCUCGGGCUGCUGGCUCCGGCCGGCGAGCGCUUGCCAGAGGACCUAAACUCUGUUUGUCUAUACUGUCUGAGUACUAUAUAAUAGUUAAACUUUCAACAACGGAUCUCUUGGUUCUG
Molecule: unclassified non-coding RNA, 233 nt
Filed under: plant metagenome
Description: partial contains small subunit ribosomal RNA, internal transcribed spacer 1, and 5.8S ribosomal RNA
Source: RNAcentral